Molecule: ribosomal RNA, 520 nt
Filed under: uncultured bacterium
Lineage: Bacteria
Description: bacterial SSU rRNA
Rfam family: Archaeal small subunit ribosomal RNA
Source: RNAcentral
AAACUUCACAAUGGAGGCAACUCCGAUGAGGGAAUUCCAAGUGCUAGCACAUUAGUGUUAGCUUUUCUUAAGCAUAGAUAACUUAAGGAAUAAGGGCUGGGUAAGACGGGUGCCAGCCGCCGCGGUAAUACCCGCAGCCCAAGUGGUGGUCGAUUUUAUUGAGUCUAAAACGUUCGUAGCCGGCUCAUUAAAUCCUUGGGUAAAUCGGAUGGCUUAACUAUCCGAAUUCCGGGGAGACUGGUGAACUUGGGACCGGGAGAGGCAAGAGGUACUUUUGGGGUAGGGGUAAAAUCCUGUAAUCCUAAAAGGACCACCGGUGGCGAAGGCGUCUUGCGAGAACGGAUCCGACGGUGAGGGACGAAGCCCUGGGUCGCAAACGGGAUUAGAUACCCCGGUAGUCCAGGGUGUAAACGCUGCAGACUUGGUGUUGGGGACCCUUCGGGGGUGUUCAGUGCCGGAGAGAAGUUGUUAAGUCUGCUACUUGGGGAGUACGUCCGCAAGGAUGAAACUUAAAGGAAUU